Molecule: transfer RNA, 70 nt
Filed under: Rattus norvegicus (Norway rat)
Lineage: Eukaryota; Metazoa; Chordata; Mammalia; Rodentia; Muridae
Rfam family: tRNA
About the family: Transfer RNA (tRNA) molecules are approximately 80 nucleotides in length. Their secondary structure includes four short double-helical elements and three loops (D, anti-codon, and T loops).
Source: Rfam by way of RNAcentral
GGGGAUUUAGCUCAGUGGUAGAGCGCUUGCCUAGCAAGCGCAAGGCCCUGGGUUCAGUCCCCAGUUUCCA